CUGAACGAGCUGAGGUGUGGCAACAUUUGACUGCCUACAUCCUAUAAUAUUUUCUGCUAUUAGGGAUUGCUUUGGAAGGAUUUGGACUCAUUUAUGCUACGAAUAUUACUGAGCACCUACCAUAUGACCAGGAGAUCUUUAGAAUCCAGUGGCUGUAUGUGUUGAAGAGAGGAAACUCGCUUCUGCAGGGAGAACAAACUACAGAAACAACUGAAAUGAAAUGUCACAAAAGGUCCAUAAAAUGUCUGCACCUAUGGCUGCUCUACGACUGGCCACCACAACCUGUCUUGUGAUGUUUGUAUGACUGAGCCAACACAGACCAAAAAUAACCACUGUGCAUCAAUGCUUCAAAUAAUUUUUUUCUAAGAGUAGGAAAAUUUUAGUGAGGGAAAGAAAGCUUCUGUCUAAGAGAGACAGGAGAG
RNAcentral lists this long non-coding RNA (422 nucleotides) under Fukomys damarensis (Damara mole-rat). Its description in RNAcentral is "lncRNA (ENSFDAG00000028620.1)". The record is from RNAcentral. Lineage: Eukaryota; Metazoa; Chordata; Mammalia; Rodentia; Bathyergidae.